GACGAACGCUGGCGGCGUGCUUAACACAUGCAAGUCGAACGGAAAGUAGCAAUAUUUUCAGUGGCGAACGGGUGAGUAACACUUGAGCAACCUACCUUGUACUUUGGAAUAACUCCUAGAAAUGGGUGCUAAUACCGAAUAAGACCACGGAGAGGCAUCUCUUCGGGGCCAAAGCUCCGGCGGUACAAGAUGGGCUCGAGUCCAAUUAGCUAGAUGGUGAGAUAACAGCCCACCAUGGCAACGAUUGGUAGCCGGCCUGAGAGGGUGAUCGGCCACACUGGAACUGAGACACGGUCCAGACUCCUACGGGAGGCAGCAGUGGGGAAUAUUGCACAAUGGGCGAAAGCCUGAUGCAGCAACGCCGCGUGAGCGAUGAAGGCCUUCGGUCGUAAGCUCUGUCCUCAAGAAGAUAAUGACGGUACUUGAGGAGGAAGCCCCGGCGUAACUACGUGCCAGCAGCCGCGGUAAGUCAUACUCGUA
This 480-nucleotide ribosomal RNA is filed under the name uncultured bacterium. RNAcentral describes it as "bacterial SSU rRNA". It matches the Rfam family "Bacterial small subunit ribosomal RNA", at positions 28 to 533 of the family's 1533-position model. The record is from RNAcentral.